GAUGAACGCUGGCGGUAUGCUUAACACAUGCAAGUCGAACGGUCACUUCGGUUUUAGUGGCGUUCGGGUGUGUAACGCGUGAGAAUCUGUCCUCAUGUCUGGUACAUCAGUUAUAAAUGACUGCUAAUACCGGUUGUGCCUUUGUGUGAAAGAUUUAUUGCCUGAAAAAUAGCUCGCGUCAGAUUAGCUAGUAUGUGUUGUAAGAGACUACCUAGGCUCGGAUGUGUAGAUGGUCUGAGAGGACGAUCAGCCACACUGGAAAUGAGACACGGUCAAGAAUAGUACGGGAGGGAGCAGAGGGGAAUAUAACGAAAUGGGGGAAAGCCUGACGGAGCAAUAGCGGGUGAGGGAGGAAGGGUUUUGGGAAGUAAAGCAGUAUUAUAAAGGAAGAUAAUGACGGUACUUGAGGAAUAAGCAACGGCUAACUAUGUG
Molecule: ribosomal RNA, 432 nt
Filed under: uncultured bacterium
Lineage: Bacteria
Description: partial 16S ribosomal RNA
Rfam family: Bacterial small subunit ribosomal RNA
Source: RNAcentral